CCUACGGGUGGCUGCAGUGAGGAAUAUUGGUCAAUGGGCGCGAGCCUGAACCAGCCAAGUCGCGUGAGGGAAGACGGUCCUAUGGAUUGUAAACCUCUUUUGUCGGGGAGCAAAAGACGCCACGCGUGGCGUUCCGAGAGUACCUGAAGAAAAAGCAUCGGCUAACUCCGUGCCAGCAGCCGCGGUAAUACGGAGGAUGCGAGCGUUAUCCGGAUUUACUGGGUGUAAAGGGGGCGCAGACGGCGAUGCAAGCCAGGAGUGAAAGCCCGGGGCCCAACCCCGGGACUGCUCUUGGAACUGCGUGGCUGGAGUGCAGGAGGGGCAGGCGGAAUUCCUGGUGUAGCGGUGAAAUGCGUAGAUAUCAGGAGGAACACCGGUGGCGAAGGCGGCCUGCUGGACUGCAACUGACGUUGAGGCCCGAAAGCGUGGGGAGCAAACAGGAUUAGAUACCCUGGUAGUC
This 460-nucleotide ribosomal RNA is filed under the name uncultured bacterium. Its description in RNAcentral is "partial 16S ribosomal RNA". It matches the Rfam family "Bacterial small subunit ribosomal RNA", at positions 338 to 795 of the family's 1533-position model. The record is from RNAcentral.